UACAGAGGUCCCAAGCGUUGUUCGGAUUCACUGGGCGUAAAGGGUGCGCAGGUGGCUGGGUAAGUUUGAUGUGAAAGCCCCGGGCUUAACCCGGGAAUGGCAUUGAAUACUAUUCGGCUGGAGGAUUGGAGGGGGGACUGGAAUUCUUGGUGUAGCAGUGAAAUGCGUAGAUAUCAUGAGGAAGACCAGUGGCGAAGGCGGGUCUCUGGACAGUUCCUGACACUGAGGCACGAAGGCCAGGGGAGCAAACGGG
Molecule: ribosomal RNA, 253 nt
Filed under: uncultured bacterium
Lineage: Bacteria
Description: partial 16S ribosomal RNA
Rfam family: Bacterial small subunit ribosomal RNA
Source: RNAcentral